UACGAAGGGGGCUAGCGUUGCUCGGAAUCACUGGGCGUAAAGGGUGCGUAGGCGGGUCUUUAAGUCAGGGGUGAAAUCCUGGAGCUCAACUCCAGAACUGCCUUUGAUACUGGCGAUCUUGAGUCCGGGAGAGGUGAGUGGAACUGCGAGUGUAGAGGUGAAAUUCGUAGAUAUUCGCAAGAACACCAGUGGCGAAGGCGGCUCACUGGCCCGGUACUGACGCUGAGGCACGAAAGCGUGGGGAGCAAACAGG
RNAcentral lists this ribosomal RNA (253 nucleotides) under uncultured bacterium. RNAcentral's name for it is "partial 16S ribosomal RNA". It matches the Rfam family "Bacterial small subunit ribosomal RNA", at positions 524 to 776 of the family's 1533-position model. The record is from RNAcentral.